Molecule: small nucleolar RNA, 147 nt
Filed under: Cicer arietinum (chickpea)
Lineage: Eukaryota; Viridiplantae; Streptophyta; Magnoliopsida; Fabales; Fabaceae
Description: Small nucleolar RNA snoR2/U65
Rfam family: Small nucleolar RNA snoR2/U65
Source: Rfam by way of RNAcentral
GGUCCGAUGCCACGUCUCUGGUAGCUAAUAUAAGCUCUGACCAAAGAUGCUAUGAUUGGACCAAUAUCAAUUUGUUUUGCAUUCUGAUAGGAAUCUGCUAAUCAUAUAUACUAUGAUUUUGCGGAGCCGUUUUGUGCAAUUACAUUU